Molecule: ribosomal RNA, 497 nt
Filed under: uncultured bacterium
Lineage: Bacteria
Description: partial 16S ribosomal RNA
Rfam family: Bacterial small subunit ribosomal RNA
Source: RNAcentral
GAUGAACGCUGGCGGCGUGCCUAAUACAUGCAAGUCGAGCGAACGGAUGAGAAGCUUGCUUCUCUGAUGUUAGCGGCGGACGGGUGAGUAACACGUGGAUAACCUACCUAUAAGACUGGGAUAACUUCGGGAAACCGGAGCUAAUACCGGAUGAUAUUUUGAACCGCAUGGUUCAAAAGUGAAAGACGGUCUUGCUGCCACUUAUAGAUGGAUCCGCGCUGCAUUAGCUAGUUGGUAAGGUAACGGCUUACCAAGGCAACGAUGCAUAGCCGACCUGAGAGGGUGAUCGGCCACACUGGAACUGAGACACGGUCCAGACUCCUACGGGAGGCAGCAGUAGGGAAUCUUCCGCAAUGGGCGAAAGCCUGACGGAGCAACGCCGCGUGAGUGAUGAAGGUCUUCGGAUCGUAAAACUCUGUUAUUAGGGAAGAACAUAUGUGUAAGUAACUGUGCACAUCUUGACGGUACCUAAUCAGAAAGCCACGGCUAACUACGUG